Molecule: ribosomal RNA, 409 nt
Filed under: bacterium
Lineage: Bacteria
Description: partial 16S ribosomal RNA
Rfam family: Bacterial small subunit ribosomal RNA
Source: RNAcentral
UGGGGAAUAUUGCACAAUGGGCGAAAGCCUGAUGCAGCGACGCCGCGUGAGGGAUGACGGCCUUCGGGUUGUAAACCUCUUUCAGUAGGGACGAAGCGCAAGUGACGGUACCUGCAGAAGAAGCACCGGCUAACUACGUGCCAGCAGCCGCGGUAAUACGUAGGGUGCGAGCGUUGUCCGGAAUUACUGGGCGUAAAGAGCUCGUAGGCGGUUUGUCACGUCGUCUGUGAAAUCCUAGGGCUUAACCCUGGACGUGCAGGCGAUACGGGCUGACUUGAGUACUACAGGGGAGACUGGAAUUCCUGGUGUAGCGGUGGAAUGCACAGAUAUCAGGAAGAACACCGAUGGCGAAGGCAGGUCUCUGGGUAGUAACUGACGCUGAGGAGCGAAAGCAUGGGUAGCGAACAGG